CAAGUCGAGCGUGGGCAGAUUGCCUCGCAAGAGGUGAUCUGCUCUAGCGGCGAACGGGUGCGUAACACGUGGGGAACCAACCCUCCAGAUGGGGACAACCUCGGGAAACCGGGGCUAAUACCGAAUACGCUUGCCGGGUCGCAUGGCCUGGUAAGGAAAGGAUCGCAAGAUCGCUGGAGGACGGUCCCGCGGCCUAUCAGCUAGUUGGUGAGGUAACGGCCCACCAAGGCGAUGACGGGUAGCUGGCCUGAGAGGGUGGUCAGCCACACUGGAACUGAGAUACGGUCCAGACUCCUACGGGAGGCAGCAGUUGGGAAUUUUGGGCAAUGGGCGCAAGCCUGACCCAGCGACGCCGCGUGGGGGAUGAAGGCCUUCGGGUUGUAAACCCCUGUCAGGAGGGACGAAGCCGCAAGGUGACGGUACCUCCAGAGGAAGCCCCGGCUAACUACGUGCCAGCAGCCGCGGUAAGACGUAGGGGGCGAGCGUUGUCCGGAAUUACUGGGCGUAAAGCGCGUGCAGGCGGCCUGGUAAGUCCCGUGUGAAAGCCUACGGCUCAACUGUAGGAGGUCGCGGGAUACUGCUGGGCUGGAGGGCAGGAGAGGGAAGUAGAAUUCCCGGUGUAGCGGUGAA
Molecule: ribosomal RNA, 630 nt
Filed under: uncultured Bacillota bacterium
Lineage: Bacteria; Bacillati; Bacillota
Description: bacterial SSU rRNA
Rfam family: Bacterial small subunit ribosomal RNA
Source: RNAcentral